Non-coding RNA from Pelobates cultripes (western spadefoot toad), 239 nucleotides. NCBI's taxonomy places the organism in Eukaryota, Metazoa, Chordata, Amphibia, Anura, Pelobatidae. The record is from the annotation of a GenBank genome assembly.
CUACAGUGUUCCUUUAAUGAAGUUUUUUCUAAAACAUCUAAAAAUACAUCUUACAAAAACUUACUCAGUUAUGCUCGCAUUUAACUUCUAAAAAUCCAUAAAAAUCUUGUAGCUCUCCCAGGAAGCCUUACGGUGGCUAGUAGUAAUUCUGCAUUGCAUCAGUCUUUCUGGACAGGGUAUUGCAGUCUCUUGUAGUCCUCGUGUCCUGAUCCUUCAUUUUAGACAAUACUGUUGUACUG